CGUUGCAAUCCCUUCUCCAGCCCUACUCUCCGAUCCAUAACUUGGCCAAGAAGACAGAAACCGAUCAAAGAUAAAAAAAAUUGCUUUGGCAGUCUUAGGUUAGGCACUGGCUAAAUCGUUCUCUCUCGCUCACUACUUUAUUGGCAACUCAUUCUCUCAAAAUAUCAGUGUGAUACAAAAUGUCUCGAAGAUAUGAUAGCCGCACAACAAUCUUCUCCCCCGAAGGUCGUCUAUACCAAGUAGAGUAUGCAAUGGAGGCCAUUGGAAAUGCAGGAACUGCAAUUGGGAUAUUG
This 293-nucleotide unclassified non-coding RNA is filed under the name Hevea brasiliensis (rubber tree). The record is from RNAcentral. Lineage: Eukaryota; Viridiplantae; Streptophyta; Magnoliopsida; Malpighiales; Euphorbiaceae.